This 259-nucleotide ribosomal RNA is filed under the name uncultured bacterium. RNAcentral's name for it is "partial 16S ribosomal RNA". It matches the Rfam family "Bacterial small subunit ribosomal RNA", at positions 793 to 1055 of the family's 1533-position model. The record is from RNAcentral.
GUCCUGGCCGUAAACGAUGGGUACUAGGUGUAGGAGGUAUCGACCCUUCUGUGCCGGAGUUAACGCAAUAAGUACCCGCCUGGGGAGUACGGCCGCAAGGUUGAAACUCAAAGGAAUUGACGGGCCCGCACAAGCGGUGGAGUAUGUGGUUUAAUUCGACGCAACGCGAAGAACCUUACCAAGGCUUGACAUUGAUUGAACGCUCUAGAGAUAGAGAUUUCCCUUCGGGGACAAGAAACAGGUGGUGCAUGGCUGUCGU